UUACGGUCAAAUCACGCAUGAAAACACCGGUUCUCGUUCGAUCACCGAAGUUAAGCAUCGUAGAGCCAGGUCAGUACUUAGAUGGGGACCGCUUGGGAACACCUGGUACUGUAAG
Molecule: non-coding RNA, 115 nt
Organism: Acanthosepion pharaonis
Lineage: Eukaryota; Metazoa; Mollusca; Cephalopoda; Sepiida; Sepiidae
Source: the annotation of a GenBank genome assembly